This 253-nucleotide ribosomal RNA is filed under the name uncultured bacterium. Its description in RNAcentral is "partial 16S ribosomal RNA". It matches the Rfam family "Bacterial small subunit ribosomal RNA", at positions 524 to 776 of the family's 1533-position model. The record is from RNAcentral.
UACGAGGGAUCCUAGCGUUGUUCGGAAUCAUUGGGCGUAAAGGGUGCGUAGGUGGCCAAGUAAGUCAGUUGUGAAAGCCCCGGGCUCAACCCGGGAAGUGCUUCUGAUACUGCAUGGCUUGAAUGUUGGAGAGGUGAGUGGAAUUCCAGGUGUAGUGGUGAAAUACGUAGAUAUCUGGAGGAACACCGGUGGCGAAGGCGGCUCACUGGCCAUACAUUGACGCUGAGGCACGAAAGCGUGGGGAUCAAACAGG